This 465-nucleotide ribosomal RNA is filed under the name Vreelandella stevensii. RNAcentral describes it as "partial 16S ribosomal RNA". It matches the Rfam family "Bacterial small subunit ribosomal RNA", at positions 338 to 795 of the family's 1533-position model. The record is from RNAcentral. Lineage: Bacteria; Pseudomonadati; Pseudomonadota; Gammaproteobacteria; Oceanospirillales; Halomonadaceae.
CCUACGGGUGGCAGCAGUGGGGAAUAUUGGACAAUGGGCGAAAGCCUGAUCCAGCCAUGCCGCGUGUGUGAAGAAGGCCUUCGGGUUGUAAAGUACUUUCAGUGGGGAAGAAAGCCUUGGGGCUAAUACCCUCGAGGAAGGACAUCACCCACAGAAGAAGCACCGGCUAACUCCGUGCCAGCAGCCGCGGUAAUACGGAGGGUGCGAGCGUUAAUCGGAAUUACUGGGCGUAAAGCGCGCGUAGGCGGUCUGAUAAGCCGGUUGUGAAAGCCCCGGGCUCAACCUGGGAACGGCAUCCGGAACUGUCAGGCUAGAGUGCAGGAGAGGAAGGUAGAAUUCCCGGUGUAGCGGUGAAAUGCGUAGAGAUCGGGAGGAAUACCAGUGGCGAAGGCGGCCUUCUGGACUGACACUGACGCUGAGGUGCGAAAGCGUGGGUAGCAAACAGGAUUAGAUACCCCAGUAGUC